Molecule: ribosomal RNA, 449 nt
Filed under: uncultured bacterium
Lineage: Bacteria
Description: partial 16S ribosomal RNA
Rfam family: Bacterial small subunit ribosomal RNA
Source: RNAcentral
AGCGAACGCUGGCGGCAGGCCUAACACAUGCAAGUCGAGCGCUGUAGCAAUACGGAGCGGCAGACGGGAGAGUAACACGUGGGAACGUACCCUUUGGUUCGGAACAACCCAGGGAAACUUGGGUUAAUACCGAAUAAGCCCUCACGGGGAAAGAUUUAUCGCCGAAGGAUCGGCCCGCGUCUGAUUAGCUAGUUGGUGGGGCAAUGGCCCACCAAGGCGACGAUCAGUAGCUGGUCUGAGAGGAUGAUCAGCCUCACUGGGACUGAGACACGGCCCAGACUCCUACGGGAGGCAGCAGUGGGGAAUAUUGGACAAUGGGCGCAAGCCUGAUCCAGCCAUGCCGCGUGGGUGAUGAAGGCCCUAGGGUUGUAAAGCCCUUUCGGCGGGGAAGAUAAUGACGGUACCCGCAGAAGAAGCCCCGGCUAACUUCGUGCCAGCCGCCGCCGUAA